GGGGUGGUGGCGCAGUUGGCUAGCGCGUAGGUCUCAUAAUCCUGAGGUCGAGAGUUCGAGCCUCUCUCAACCCA
Molecule: transfer RNA, 74 nt
Filed under: Zingiber officinale
Lineage: Eukaryota; Viridiplantae; Streptophyta; Magnoliopsida; Zingiberales; Zingiberaceae
Description: tRNA-Met
Rfam family: tRNA
About the family: Transfer RNA (tRNA) molecules are approximately 80 nucleotides in length. Their secondary structure includes four short double-helical elements and three loops (D, anti-codon, and T loops). Further hydrogen bonds mediate the characteristic L-shaped molecular structure. tRNAs have two regions of fundamental functional importance: the anti-codon, which is responsible for specific mRNA codon recognition, and the 3' end, to which the tRNAs corresponding amino acid is attached (by aminoacyl-tRNA synthetases). tRNAs cope with the degeneracy of the genetic code in two manners: having more than one tRNA (with a specific anti-codon) for a particular amino acid; and 'wobble' base-pairing, i.e. permitting non-standard base-pairing at the 3rd anti-codon position.
Source: RNAcentral